This 460-nucleotide ribosomal RNA is filed under the name uncultured bacterium. RNAcentral's name for it is "partial 16S ribosomal RNA". It matches the Rfam family "Bacterial small subunit ribosomal RNA", at positions 338 to 795 of the family's 1533-position model. The record is from RNAcentral.
CCUACGGGAGGCAGCAGUGAGGAAUAUUGGUCAAUGGGCGUGAGCCUGAACCAGCCAAGUAGCGUGAAGGAUGACUGCCCUACGGGUUGUAAACUUCUUUUAUACAGGAAUAAAGUGAGGCACGUGUGCCUGUUUGUAUGUACUUCAUGAAUAAGGAUCGGCUAACUCCGUGCCAGCAGCCGCGGUAAUACGGAGGAUCCGAGCGUUAUCCGGAUUUAUUGGGUUUAAAGGGAGCGUAGAUGGGUUGUUAAGCGUGUCGUGAAAGUUUGCGGCUCAACCGUGAGAGUGCAAUUGAUACUGGCAGUCUUGAGUACAGUGGAGGUAGGCGGAAUUCGUGGUGUAGCGGUGAAAUGCUUAGAGAUCACGAAGAACCCCGAUUGCGAAGGCAGCUUGCCAAACUGCCACUGACAUUGAUGCUCGAAAGUGUGGGUAUCAAACAGGAUUAGAUACCCGAGUAGUC